CCCUGCCAUUUGUACACACCGCCCGUCGCACCUACCGAUUGAAUGACUCGGUGAAAAAUUGGGACCGUGAGUCCGUUUGCUUCAUUGCGAAUGGAUUGAUGGGAACUUUUUUAAACCUCGCCAUUUAGAGGAAG
RNAcentral lists this ribosomal RNA (134 nucleotides) under uncultured eukaryote. RNAcentral describes it as "partial small subunit ribosomal RNA". It matches the Rfam family "Eukaryotic small subunit ribosomal RNA", at positions 1651 to 1782 of the family's 1831-position model. The record is from RNAcentral.